ACCGGCGCACGGGUGAGUAACACGUAUCCAACCUGCCCUUUACUCGGGGAUAGCCUUUCGAGAGAAAGAUUAAUACCCGAUGUAAAGGAUGGGGAUGCGUUCCAUUAGGUUGUUGGUGAGGUCACGGCUCACCAAGCCUUCGAUGGAUAGGGGUUCUGAGAGGAAGGUCCCCCACAUUGGAACUGAGACACGGUCCAAACUCCUACGGGAGGCAGCAGUGAGGAAUAUUGGUCAAUGGGCGCUAGCCUGAACCAGCCAAGUAGCGUGAAGGAUGAAGGCUUAUGGGUCGUAAACUUCUUUUAUAUAAGAAUAUGUAUUAUAUGAAUAAGGAUCGGCUAACUCCGUGCCAGCAGCCGCGGUAAUACGGAGGAUCCGAGCGUUAUCCGGAUUUAUUGGGUUUAAAGGGAGCGUAGGUGGACUGGUAAGUCAGUUGUGAAAGUUUGCGGCUCAACCGUAAAAUUGCAGUUGAUACUGUCAGUCUUGAGUACAGUAGAGGUGGGCGGAAUCCGUGGUGUAGCGGUGAAAUGCUUAGAUAUCACGAAGAACUCC
Molecule: ribosomal RNA, 549 nt
Filed under: uncultured bacterium
Lineage: Bacteria
Description: bacterial SSU rRNA
Rfam family: Bacterial small subunit ribosomal RNA
Source: RNAcentral